RNAcentral lists this long non-coding RNA (214 nucleotides) under Mytilus galloprovincialis (Mediterranean mussel). Lineage: Eukaryota; Metazoa; Mollusca; Bivalvia; Mytilida; Mytilidae. The record is from RNAcentral.
UUCUUCUUUUUUAUUAUUAGAUAUAUGUAUGAUCUCAUUUGCUAUUGUAAGAAUAAUUGAAAUGUGUGCUUUUGUGAAUUGCAGUUGUAAAAAUGUUAAAGGGAAUAUUAACAAAGCAAUGUCUUUCUAGGAUUAUUUUUGGUGUUCGUUGUACCUUAAAUUGAGAACGACUUAUCCAAAUUUCAUGAAACUUAUCAUAGUUGUUUCUUAUGAU